Molecule: ribosomal RNA, 460 nt
Filed under: uncultured bacterium
Lineage: Bacteria
Description: partial 16S ribosomal RNA
Rfam family: Bacterial small subunit ribosomal RNA
Source: RNAcentral
CCUACGGGAUGCAGCAGUGAGGAAUAUUGGUCAAUGGACGAGAGUCUGAACCAGCCAAGUCGCGUGAAGGAUGACUGCCCUCUGGGUUGUAAACUUCUUUUAUAUGGGAAUAAAAUGUUCCACUUGUGGGAUUUUGUAUGUACCAUAUGAAUCCGGAUCGGCUAACUCCGUGCCAGCAGCCGCGGUAAUACGGAGGAUCCGAGCGUUAUCCGGAUUUAUUGGGUUUACAGGGAGCGUAGGUGGAUUGUUAAGUCAGUUGUGAAAGUUUGAGGCUCAACCGUAAAAUUGCAGUUGAAACUGGCAGUCUUGAGUACAGUAGAGGUGGGCGGAAUUCGUGGUGUAGCGGUGAAAUGCUUAGAUAUCACGAAGAACACCGAUUGCGAAGGCAGCUCACUGGACUGCAACUGACACUGAGGCACGAAAGCGUGGGGAUCAAACAGGAUUAGAUACCCUAGUAGUC